CUGGCGGAUCGAGUAGUCGCGGGGGCGAAUGCCCUCGAGGAAAGUCCGGACAUCACAGGGCGAGGUGGUCGGUAACGCCGACCCGGGGAAACCCGCGGGAAAGUGCCACAGAAAACACACCGCCUAAGGCCGCCCUCGUUCGCGAGAGCGGCCCGGCAAGGUUGAAAAGGUGCGGUAAGAGCGCACCGGCGUCGCGGUGACGCGGCGGCCAGGCAAACCCCACCUGAUGCAAGACCAAGCCGGACCGUUUGCAGGCUGCCCGUCAAGGUCCAGGUCGGUUGCAGAGAUAGAUGGCUGCUCAAGACAGAAUCCGGCUUAUAGAUCCGCUACGGAA
Molecule: RNase P RNA, 334 nt
Filed under: Solirubrobacter ginsenosidimutans
Lineage: Bacteria; Bacillati; Actinomycetota; Thermoleophilia; Solirubrobacterales; Solirubrobacteraceae
Description: Solirubrobacter sp. BXN5-15 Bacterial RNase P class A
Rfam family: Bacterial RNase P class A
About the family: Ribonuclease P (RNase P) is a ubiquitous endoribonuclease, found in archaea, bacteria and eukarya as well as chloroplasts and mitochondria. Its best characterised activity is the generation of mature 5'-ends of tRNAs by cleaving the 5'-leader elements of precursor-tRNAs.
Source: Rfam by way of RNAcentral